Otolemur garnettii (small-eared galago) is the source of this 183-nucleotide small nuclear RNA. Its record names the gene U2. It matches the Rfam family "U2 spliceosomal RNA". Rfam says of the family: U2 is a small nuclear RNA (snRNA) component of the spliceosome (involved in pre-mRNA splicing). Complementary binding between U2 snRNA (in an area lying towards the 5' end but 3' to hairpin I) and the branchpoint sequence (BPS) of the intron results the bulging out of an unpaired adenosine, on the BPS, which initiates a nucleophilic attack at the intronic 5' splice site, thus starting the first of two transesterification reactions that mediate splicing. The record is from Ensembl. Lineage: Eukaryota; Metazoa; Chordata; Mammalia; Primates; Galagidae.
AUUGCUUCUCAGCUAUUUGGCUAAGAUCAAGUGUAUUAUCUGUUCUUAUUAGUUUAAUAUCUGAUAUUUCUCUAUCUGAGAAAGCAAUAUUAAGUGGAUUUUUGGAAACGGAUGGUGAGCUUGCUCUAUCUACUACAUGCAUCAUUCUGGUAUUGCAGUACUUCCAGGAAAGGUGUACUGCCA